This 603-nucleotide ribosomal RNA is filed under the name uncultured organism. Its description in RNAcentral is "bacterial SSU rRNA". It matches the Rfam family "Bacterial small subunit ribosomal RNA", at positions 699 to 1292 of the family's 1533-position model. The record is from RNAcentral.
AGGAAGAACACCAGCGGCGAAGGCGGCUUCCUGGACAGUAACUGACGCUGAGGCACGAAAGCGUGGGGAACGAACAGGAUCAGAUACCCUGGUAGUCCACGCCGUAAACGAUGGAUACUAGGUGUAGGAGGUAUCGACCCCUUCUGUGCCGGAGCUAACACAAUAAGUAUCCCACCUGGGGAGUAACGACCGCAAGGGUUGAAACUCAAAGGUAUUGACGGGGGCCCGAACAAGCAGUGGAGUAUGUGGUUUAAUUCGAAGCAACGCGAAGAACCUUACCAGGGCUUGACAUCCUCUGACCGCUCUAGAGAUAGAGCUUUCCUUCGGGUCAGAGAGACAGAUGGUGCAUGGUUGUCGUCAGCUCGUGUCGUGAGAUCUUGGAUUAAGUCCUGCUACAGAGCGCAACCCCUGUUGUUAGUUGCCAGCAAGUGAACGUUGGGCACUCAAACGAGACUCGCCGAUGAUUAUGCGGAGGAUGGUCGGGGAUCACGUCGAAUCAUCAUCGCUCUCUUAUGUCCUGGCCUACAUGCGCAUUGCUAGUGCCUGUUACAGAGGGGAGACUAAACCGGCGAGGUGGAGCAACUCCCANAAGGCAGCCCCAGU